Oncorhynchus keta (chum salmon) is the source of this 2149-nucleotide long non-coding RNA. RefSeq lists it as uncharacterized. The record is from RefSeq and is a predicted model, not a curated record. The transcript is spliced from 2 exons. NCBI's taxonomy places the organism in Eukaryota, Metazoa, Chordata, Actinopteri, Salmoniformes, Salmonidae.
AAACACAGAAAACAACUACCCACCACCCAUAGUGGGAAAAUAGGCUGCCUAAGUAUGGUUCUCAAUCAGAGACAACGAUCGAAAGCUGCCUCUGAUUGGGAACCAUACCAGGCCAAACACAGAAAUAUAAAACCUAGAAUACACAACAUAGAAUGCCCACCCCAACUCACGCCCUGACCAAACUAAAACAGAGACAUAAAAAAGGAACUCCGGUCAGGACGUGACAGCUGGGUAUGUACAUACCGUAAUUUCCGGACUAUAAGCCGCUACUUUUUCCCCACGCUUUGAACCUCAUGGUUUAUACAAUGACGCGGCUAAUUUAUGGAUUUUUCCCGCUUUCACAAGAUUCAUGCCGCCAAAAAACUGAAUCGAGCGCACUCAAACUUCCCAUCAUUCUGAUUAGUAAUUUUGUCACCCUCAUCAUGGCAAAGACACGAAGAAAUGCAUAUGAUGCAGCUUUCAAGUUUAAGGCGAUCAAUCUGGCUGUUGGAAAAGGAAAUAGAGCUGCUGACAGCGUGGAGCAUUGUCAAAAAAUCCACUAUCAUCAAUGGGUUUCGAAAGGCUGGACUGCUGCGUGUUGAAGAGGGCAGCGAUCCAACAUCGGAUGAAGCAAUUCUGAGGCUAUUCAACUCCGACACCGAAGGAGAUGACUUCAGUGGUUUCAGUGCACAGGAGGAGGAAGAUAGUGACCAAUGACUUUCUUGGACCUGAGCCCUAGAAGCAUGCCCCAGGACUACCUGACAUGAUGACUCCUUGCUGUCCUCAGUCCACCUGGCCAUGCUGCUGCUCCAGUUUCAACUGACCUGAGCCCUAGGACCAUGCCCCAGGACUACCUGACAUGAUGACUCCUUGCUGUCCCCAGUCCACCUGGCCAUGCUGCUGCUCCAGUUUCAACUGUUCUGCCUUACUAUUAUUCGACCAUGCUGGUCAUUUAUGAACAUUUGAACAUCUUGGCCAUGUUCUGUUAUAAUCUCCACCCGGCACAGCCAGAAGAGGACGGGCCACCCCACAUAGCCUGGUUCCUCUCUAGGUUUCUUCCUAGGUUUUGGCCUUUCUAGGGAGUUUUUCCUAGCCACCGUGCUUCUACACCUGCAUUGCUUGCUGUUUGGGGUUUUAGGCUGGGUUUCUGUACAGCACUUUGAGAUAUCAGCUGAUGUACGAAGGGCUAUAUAAAUAAAUUUGAUUUGAUUUGAAAACGCGACAUGAUAUUUUUCAAGGUCAAUCUCACAAAAAAAUAAGCAUUUUUUGCCUUCUAACUACCCGCUAUUCAAAGUGCUCUAAACAAAUUAAGGGAAUCUUCCACAAACAUUGGCACAUUCUAAGAUUCGAUGACAGUAUCGGUAACGUUAUUGUGUUUUCGGACCAUUUGGUCGUGUUCUCUCGAGGCAGAAAUCUCAGCGAUCAAUUGGUAAACUCUGAUUUACCACCCCAAGAUAUUUCUGAACAACCUCUAUUUGCGCCCCUACUGGAUGGAAAUUACAAGUGUAAUGACUGGGAAAACAGGGAAACAGAUCCCAUUCAAAGGUGUUAUUACGUGCUCCGCUAAGGCAGUUAUUUAUCCUAUAACUUGUCCUUGUGGUAAAAAAAAAUGUGGGUUAACAAAGCGCGAAUUAAAAGUACGUACCUCAGAGCAUCGUAGCACCAUUAGGUGCAAAAACUUGACUUACCCAGUUCCGGUCUACUUUUUGGAAGCAAACCACUCGAAUUUCAUCCCUACGUUAUAUUGGCAUCGAACAUGUCACCCUCCCUCGGAGAGGGGGUGACAUCGACAAUUUAUUGUUAAAACGAGAGGCUGCCUGGAUCUUUAAUUUAAAGACCCUUGCUCCCUUCGGUCUCAAAGUAGACUUUGAUCUGAAGUCAUUCUUGUGAUUAUUAUGAUUUUUCUGAUGUAAAUGUCUGUAGGCCUAUGUAGCCAAAUUGUAUCUAUGAUCGUAUGCUAUCCAUUCAUGUUUUUGGUAUGUUAUUUUAAAAUAUGAGAAUUAACCAACGAUAUCAGGCCACACCCGGCCAUGAUUACAGACACCUGUGUGUGUCCUUUGACACUAUAUAAACUCGUCACCCUGCAGUGUUUGUCAUUAAACCCUGAUGAAGACAACACGUCUGUCUAGACGUUGGAUAUUAGGUUAUUAAAGUAUUGCAUCUGAGCUCC